GGGAUAUAGCUCAGUUGGGAGAGCGUUUGAAUGGCAUUCAAAAGGUCGUCGGUUCGAUCCCGAUUAUCUCCACCA
Molecule: transfer RNA, 75 nt
Filed under: Pasteurellaceae bacterium
Lineage: Bacteria; Pseudomonadati; Pseudomonadota; Gammaproteobacteria; Pasteurellales; Pasteurellaceae
Description: tRNA-Ala
Rfam family: tRNA
About the family: Transfer RNA (tRNA) molecules are approximately 80 nucleotides in length.
Source: RNAcentral